Molecule: ribosomal RNA, 586 nt
Filed under: Bacillus cereus
Lineage: Bacteria; Bacillati; Bacillota; Bacilli; Caryophanales; Bacillaceae
Description: bacterial LSU rRNA
Rfam family: Bacterial large subunit ribosomal RNA
Source: RNAcentral
GUAGAGUGCAAAGGCAUAAGGGAGCUUGACUGCGAGACCUACAAGUCGAGCAGGGACGAAAGUCGGGCUUAGUGAUCCGGUGGUUCCGCAUGGAAGGGCCAUCGCUCAACGGAUAAAAGCUACCCCGGGGAUAACAGGCUUAUCUCCCCCAAGAGUCCACAUCGACGGGGAGGUUUGGCACCUCGAUGUCGGCUCAUCGCAUCCUGGGGCUGUAGUCGGUCCCAAGGGUUGGGCUGUUCGCCCAUUAAAGCGGUACGCGAGCUGGGUUCAGAACGUCGUGAGACAGUUCGGUCCCUAUCCGUCGUGGGCGUAGGAAAUUUGAGAGGAGCUGUCCUUAGUACGAGAGGACCGGGAUGGACGCACCGCUGGUGUACCAGUUGUUCUGCCAAGGGCAUAGCUGGGUAGCUAUGUGCGGAAGGGAUAAGUGCUGAAAGCAUCUAAGCAUGAAGCCCCCCUCAAGAUGAGAUUUCCCAUAGCGUAAGCUAGUAAGAUCCCUGAAAGAUGAUCAGGUUGAUAGGUUCGAGGUGGAAGCAUGGUGACAUGUGGAGCUGACGAAUACUAAUAGAUCGAGGACUUAACCAUAUAA